UACGUAGGGACCAAGCGUUGUCCGGAAUCAUUGGGCGUAAAGAGCGUGUAGGCGGCUUUACAGGUCCGUUGUGAAAACUCGAGGCUCAACCUCGAGACGCCGGUGGAAACCGUAAGGCUAGAGUCCGGAAGAGGAGAGUGGAAUUCCUGGUGUAGCGGUGAAAUGCGCAGAUAUCAGGAGGAACACCCGUGGCGAAAGCGGCUCUCUGGGACGGUACUGACGCUGAGACGCGAAAGCGUGGGGAGCAAACAGG
RNAcentral lists this ribosomal RNA (253 nucleotides) under uncultured bacterium. RNAcentral describes it as "partial 16S ribosomal RNA". It matches the Rfam family "Bacterial small subunit ribosomal RNA", at positions 524 to 776 of the family's 1533-position model. The record is from RNAcentral.